This 29-nucleotide non-coding RNA is filed under the name Homo sapiens (human). The record is from RNAcentral. Lineage: Eukaryota; Metazoa; Chordata; Mammalia; Primates; Hominidae.
CCCCUUCCCAUGAAGGAUAUGAAGCCAGC